This 259-nucleotide ribosomal RNA is filed under the name uncultured bacterium. Its description in RNAcentral is "partial small subunit ribosomal RNA". It matches the Rfam family "Bacterial small subunit ribosomal RNA", at positions 26 to 286 of the family's 1533-position model. The record is from RNAcentral.
AGGACGAACGCUGGCGGCGUGCUUAACACAUGCAAGUCGAACGGUGAAGCCCUUUCGGGGGUGGAUCAGUGGCGAACGGGUGAGUAACACGUGAGCAACCUGCCCUUGACUCUGGGAUAACUUCGGGAAACCGGAGCUAAUACCGGAUAUGACACGCGGAGGCAUCUCCUGUGUGUGGAAAGAUUCAUUGGUCAAGGAUGGGCUCGCGGCCUAUCAGCUAGUUGGUGGGGUAAUGGCCUACCAAGGCGACGACGGGUAG